GUUUUCUCACAGCACAAUGCUAGAAAGCUGUUAAAUACAAAUGUGAACUUCAUAACUUGCAACAAUUUCCAAACAUUUUCCUUCUGGAAAUACAUGAGUGUGUACAUGGGAAAUGUAUUUAGAUUUAAAUAACAUUUUCAAUCCGGCACGUAAUGACAGAAAUGACAUUUUAAAAAGCUGCAGCAUGAGUGUCUCAGCAAAAAUCACAUGCAGGAGAAAAACGGGAGUGUUGUAAAACAGCCACUGCUCAGAAGAAAUGGCAUACGUGAACUUUCCUAGCGCCCAAACUUUGUGCACACUGGGCAGCAAGCCCCAGUGCUCAGUGCCUCAUGUCGCCUUGUGGUGUUGUAUUCAAUAUUGGGUUAAAAUCAGCCACAGUUGUACGACUCCAUCCUAAUCCUCUACUCUUUUUUCCACGUGUCUUUCUCCGGUGGUGUUUAAUUUUCGGUUGCAGAGGUUAGCAGUGCAACCACAGUCCGGGUGUCACAGCAAAUGAAGCAAUAACAGCACCUCCUGCUCUGCACCGCGCCGCUUCUCACAGCACAUUUAUCACUGCAGUGCCAUUGUGCUUCCCAAGCACUCACCAAGCGAUGCAUGCAGAACUCGCAGCACUACUACAAGUUUCCCUCCUCCUCCAGACACAGCUCAGAAGAGGAGAAGGAAGCAGCAGCAAGCUCCAAGAUAGCUUUACAUUCACGGUGACAGCAUUAAGAUUAAUGCUAUCUCUUCGUGGUUAGCAGAUGGCGGGAGCAUGUCCAGUAGCUGGGACUGAAACCACGCUUCUCGGCUCGCUGUAAAAGCAUUAUUAUUUUGGUCAUGUCAGAAAAAUGUUCUUCUGCUUAUUUUAUCAGCGCUGUGCUCGUAAGUCAUGAGUGCCCAUGUCAUUAUCUACCCACCCGCUGCUGUCCCCACUCACGCCUCAGGCAAAACGCAGUCACAGCUUCUCAUGAAUAAGGAUGCGGGGUCUGCUCGGUGGCAGCGUGGCUGCGGGCCCUGCCCAGCAGAGUGGGGGGAGCAGGGCAGCACUUGUGGACCUCAGCAAAGGAGCCCGUUAAGGAUCUUCCACUCUGACCACCAACCCACAGGUGCAGUACAGAGUGCCUUCAAACAGUGCUGCUCAGUCAGUGUGCAGGCUGCACCUCUCUGCACACGUUAGCAAGUGGGCAUUCAGAACAAGCCAGUGGCUCCGCCGGUGCCUCGCUGCAGUUUCCAGGUGUUCCUCUACUUGUUGAUGCCAUUGCUGCCCUCAGUGUCUUUUUAAUCAUCUCUCUUGUGCUCACUGAUUUUUCUCUUGUUCAGAAUCUCGUGUUGUUUGUUUGCUUGCUUUUAAAAUACUUUUUCCAUCAUCACCCCCGGAGGUAAGCGUGUCCUGCUCCCUAGAGCACACCCUUGGCCCUGGGAUGCACUGCAUCUUGUUGGCAGCCCCUCCCUGUGUCCUUCAUGCUCUCUCUCCCUGGGACACCCAUGUGUGUCCCUUACAGCUCAAAGCACUGAACUUCCUUGUCAGGAGUCUCUUUUGUUAGCUGAAGGAAUGAAUUUUUUCACCUGCCAUUAGCACUGCCUACUCUUCCAGUUUCCACGUGAAGCGUUGCGUACUUUUCUUCCAAAUGUUACAGCAACACUAUUUUGCUAGAGCUAAAUUAUUCAAUUACAGCAAUCAAACUCCUUUUCUUGCUCCUUCCCUGGUGGCUGGCAAGGGGCGUGUGACUACUUAGAACUGUUUAUGGAAGAGAACCAAGUGGACUAUUGCUGCACAACGAGGAGUGCUCCCACAUGUUCCGUCCUUUUCCAGUUCCUGUGUUCCCUUGGUGACUAAUAAAGGAUGUGCACGCUACUUCA
This 1839-nucleotide long non-coding RNA is filed under the name Numida meleagris (helmeted guineafowl). RNAcentral's name for it is "lncRNA (ENSNMEG00000020004.1)". Lineage: Eukaryota; Metazoa; Chordata; Aves; Galliformes; Numididae. The record is from RNAcentral.